This 1795-nucleotide long non-coding RNA is filed under the name Equus caballus (horse). RNAcentral's name for it is "lncRNA (ENSECAG00000054066.1)". Lineage: Eukaryota; Metazoa; Chordata; Mammalia; Perissodactyla; Equidae. The record is from RNAcentral.
GCAACACUGUCAAUGCUCCCGGGAGGGCACCCUCCCCCCUCAUCCUGCCACCCUCCCGGAGGCUGAAGGCCCAACUAGGGGCCCAUGCUGGCAUCUGCUGGGAUCGGCAUGCCUGGGGGCCCCCACCCCCACCCUGGGCAGCACUGAAAGGUGCCCCAGGCGUCCAAGUUUCCAUGGGCCCAAGCUAAUAGAGCAGCGAGGGCUGUGUCAUCCUGAUGGCUGGCAACAUCUGAUGAGGAGGAACAGCAAUACAUGGGCCCCUUGGAUUCCCAAGGGGAAAACAAGCCCCUCCCUUCCUGACCCCCCAGGCCUGCCGGAGGUCGGCCUUCCAGCAGAACCACCAGACCAGAGGCACUGGAGGAAGGUGACUUGAAUUCUGGAGCCUCCCUUCCAGGGCGGGGGUGAGGGUGUGAUACACACUUACACACUGUUCGGCGUCGGGGCGUCAAGUUGAGAACCCCCACUGUCCCAUUUCCUCCCGCUGUCUCCUGUCCACACCUGAGUCUCCUCUCUGAAGGGCCUGCUGGGCCCUAUGGGGAGCAGAGAGAAACCCACGCCACCGCCUGGCCUUGAAGAGAGAAGACAAGACUCACAGGCAGAUACACCAAGUGGACCGUUGCAUCGCUUCCUCCUCUCCGAGCCUCAGUUUCCUCACCAGUGAAGUGGGCGGGCUGGACUGAGUCCUCAGGAGGGCCCUGCAGCUCUCCCGCCCUUACCUGGAAGGCUGUCUCCUCUUCUUCCAUCUCUCCUGCCCUGGCACCGCCUCCCCGGCUCCUCCGGCCCCACUCACCCCCGACUCAUCCGAAGGACGGCUUUUUAAGACUCAGCCCGGCUCCACCUGCUUCUCCCACGAAAGGCGACAUGCCAGAGGGCAGAGCAUGGCCUCGAAUGCUGCGCCAUUACUGUCAGCCGCGGACCGAGAGCCACUGCAGCCUGGUCCAACACCACUCCACCGUCUUUCAAACAGGAGUAAGGCCCACAGCGCCCGGCAGGGGUGGGUGUGAAGACGAGCUAAUGUGCUGCACACACAGUAGGUCCUUGUUAUGGACUGAAUUGUGUCCCCUCAGAUUCCUAUGUUGAAGCCCUAACCCCCAGUGCCAGAAUGUGACUGUAUCUGGAGAGAGGGCCUUUAAAGAGGGAAGUAAGUUAAAAUGAGGCCGUUAGGGUGGGCCCUGACACAGUGAAAAUGGUGUCCUGGGAAGAGGAGGCUAUCAGAACACAGAGAGAGCCACCAGGGCGCGUGCACAGAGGGACGGCCAUGUGAAGAGGCAGCAAGGGCACGGCUGUCUGCACUCCAAGGAGAGGGGGCCAGGAGAAAUCAGGCCUUCUGGCACCUCCAUUUUGGACCUCCAGCCUCCAGAGCUGUGAGAAGGUCAACUUGUUUGAACCACCCCGUCUGUGGUACUUUGUCAUGGCAGCCGGGGCAGACAAAUACAGUCCUUAAGAGGCGCCAAUCCUUUCGGCCUUGACUUUGUGUCAGCCUUGUUUGGUGUGUGAGAAGGCUUGUUCCUCGGCUUAUAAAUGACUGGAGGGCAAGUUCCAGGCAGCUGUGUCUUUCCCUGUGGGCCCGGAGGGCGCAGUUCGAUGCCAGGCACAGGGGGCACACACGCGGAGCCCUGUGCUCACUGCCGGCUCCGCCCACCUGCCGACAAGGGUGGGGACCCCGCUGCCAUCCACCGAGGUGCCUCUCAAACUUCAGUCAUGGAGUCAAUUUAGGGAGUCACACGAGCACCUUUCAAGAAUAACAACACAGAGCGGAAGAGAAAAGAUGCCCGGGUGCGUCUCAGGGAGUGAG